GGGUUGUGAGGUUAAGCGACUAAGCGUACACGGUGGAUGCCCUGGCAGUCAGAGGCGAUGAAGGACGUGCUAAUCUGCGAAAAGCGCCGGCGAGGUGAUAUGAACCUUUGACCCGGCGAUGUCCGAAUGGGGAAACCCAGUGCAAUCCGUUGCACUAUCGUUAACUGAAUACAUAGGUUAACGAGGCGAACCGGGGGAACUGAAACAUCUAAGUACCCCGAGGAAAAGAAAUCAACCGAGAUUCCCCCAGUAGCGGCGAGCGAACGGGGAGCAGCCCGGAGUCUGAAUCAGCUUGUGUGUUAGUGGAACGGUCUGGAAAGUCCGACGGUACAGGGUGAUAGUCCCGUACACGAAAGCACACUUGCUGUGAACUCGAAGAGUAGGGCGGGACACGUGGUAUCCUGUCUGAAUAUGGGGGGACCAUCCUCCAAGGCUAAAUACUCCUGACUGACCGAUAGUGAACCAGUACCGUGAGGGAAAGGCGAAAAGAACCCCGGCGAGGGGAGUGAAAAAGAACCUGAAACCGUGUACGUACAAGCAGUGGGAGCCUCUUUAUGGGGUGACUGCGUACCUUUUGUAUAAUGGGUCAGCGACUUAUAUUCUGUAGCAAGGUUAACCGUAUAGGGGAGCCGAAGGGAAACCGAGUCUUAACUGGGCGUUAAGUUGCAGGGUAUAGACCCGAAACCCGGUGAUCUAGCCAUGGGCAGGUUGAAGGUUGGGUAACACUAACUGGAGGACCGAACCGACUAAUGUUGAAAAAUUAGCGGAUGACCUGUGGCUGGGGGUGAAAGGCCAAUCAAACCGGGAGAUAGCUGGUUCUCCCCGAAAGCUAUUUAGGUAGCGCCUCGUGAACUCAUCUUCGGGGGUAGAGCACUGUUUCGGCUAGGGGGCCAUCCCGGCUUACCAACCCGAUGCAAACUACGAAUACCGAAGAAUGUUAUCACGGGAGACACACGGCGGGUGCUAACGUCCGUCGUGAAGAGGGAAACAACCCAGACCGCCAGCUAAGGUCCCAAAGUCAUGGUUAAGUGGGAAACGAUGUGGGAAGGCACAGACAGCCAGGAUGUUGGCUUAGAAGCAGCCAUCAUUUAAAGAAAGCGUAAUAGCUCACUGGUCGAGUCGGCCUGCGCGGAAGAUGUAACGGGGCUAAACCAUGCACCGAAGCUGCGGCAGCGACGCUUAUGCGUUGUUGGGUAGGGGAGCGUUCUGUAAGCCGUUGAAGGUGUCCUGUGAGGGGUGCUGGAGGUAUCAGAAGUGCGAAUGCUGACAUAAGUAACGAUAAAGCGGGUGAAAAGCCCGCUCGCCGGAAGACCAAGGGUUCCUGUCCAACGUUAAUCGGGGCAGGGUGAGUCGACCCCUAAGGCGAGGCCGAAAGGCGUAGUCGAUGGGAAACAGGUUAAUAUUCCUGUACUUGGUGUUACUGCGAAGGGGGGACGGAGAAGGCUAUGUCAGCCGGGCGACGGUUGUCCCGGUUUAAGCAUGUAGGCGGAGGUUCCAGGUAAAUCCGGUACCUUGUUAACGCUGAGGUGUGAUGACGAGGCACUACGGUGCUGAAGUGAUAAAUGCCCUGCUUCCAGGAAAAGCCUCUAAGCAUCAGGUAACACGAAAUCGUACCCCAAACCGACACAGGUGGUCAGGUAGAGAAUACCAAGGCGCUUGAGAGAACUCGGGUGAAGGAACUAGGCAAAAUGGUGCCGUAACUUCGGGAGAAGGCACGCUGAUGUGUAGGUGAAGUCCCUGCGGACGGAGCUGAAAUCAGUCGAAGAUACCAGCUGGCUGCAACUGUUUAUUAAAAACACAGCACUGUGCAAACACGAAAGUGGACGUAUACGGUGUGACGCCUGCCCGGUGCCGGAAGGUUAAUUGAUGGGGUUAGCGGCAACGCGAAGCUCUUGAUCGAAGCCCCGGUAAACGGCGGCCGUAACUAUAACGGUCCUAAGGUAGCGAAAUUCCUUGUCGGGUAAGUUCCGACCUGCACGAAUGGCGUAAUGAUGGCCAGGCUGUCUCCACCCGAGACUCAGUGAAAUUGAACUCGCUGUGAAGAUGCAGUGUACCCGCGGCAAGACGGAAAGACCCCGUGAACCUUUACUAUAGCUUGACACUGAACACUGGUCCUUGAUGUGUAGGAUAGGUGGGAGGCUUUGAAGCGUGGACGCCAGUCUGCGUGGAGCCAACCUUGAAAUACCACCCUUUAAUGGCUGGUGUUCUAACGUAGACCCGUAAUCCGGGUUGCGGACAGUGUCUGGUGGGUAGUUUGACUGGGGCGGUCUCCUCCCAAAGAGUAACGGAGGAGCACGAAGGUUGGCUAAUCCUGGUCGGACAUCAGGAGGUUAGUGCAAUGGCAUAAGCCAGCUUGACUGCGAGCGUGACGGCGCGAGCAGGUGCGAAAGCAGGUCAUAGUGAUCCGGUGGUUCUGAAUGGAAGGGCCAUCGCUCAACGGAUAAAAGGUACUCCGGGGAUAACAGGCUGAUACCGCCCAAGAGUUCAUAUCGACGGCGGUGUUUGGCACCUCGAUGUCGGCUCAUCACAUCCUGGGGCUGAAGUAGGUCCCAAGGGUAUGGCUGUUCGCCAUUUAAAGUGGUACGCGAGCUGGGUUUAGAACGUCGUGAGACAGUUCGGUCCCUAUCUGCCGUGGGCGCUGGAGAAUUGAGGGGGGCUGCUCCUAGUACGAGAGGACCGGAGUGGACGCAUCACUGGUGUUCGGGUUGUCAUGCCAAUGGCACUGCCCGGUAGCUAAAUGCGGAAAAGAUAAGUGCUGAAAGCAUCUAAGCACGAAACUUGCCCCGAGAUGAGUUCUCCCUGAGACUUUAAGUCUCCUGAAGGAACGUUGAAGACUACGACGUUGAUAGGUCGGGUGUGUAAGCGCAGCGAUGCGUUGAGCUAACCGAUACUAAUGAACCGUGAGGCUUAACCUUACAACGCCGAAGCUGUU
Molecule: ribosomal RNA, 2932 nt
Filed under: Enterobacter hormaechei
Lineage: Bacteria; Pseudomonadati; Pseudomonadota; Gammaproteobacteria; Enterobacterales; Enterobacteriaceae
Description: 23S ribosomal RNA
Rfam family: Bacterial large subunit ribosomal RNA
Source: RNAcentral